GACGAACGCUGGCGGCGUGCUUAACACAUGCAAGUCGAACGGAAAGGCCCUGCUUUUGUGGGGUGCUCGAGUGGCGAACGGGUGAGUAACACGUGAGUAACGUGCCCUUGACUUUGGGAUAACUUCAGGAAACUGGGGCUAAUACCGGAUAGGAGCUCCUGCUGCAUGGUGGGGGUUGGAAAGUUUCGGCGGUUGGGGAUGGACUCGCGGCUUAUCAGCUUGUUGGUGGGGUAGUGGCUUACCAAGGCUUUGACGGGUAGCCGGCCUGAGAGGGUGACCGGCCACAUUGGGACUGAGAUACGGCCCAGACUCCUACGGGAGGCAGCAGUGGGGAAUAUUGCACAAUGGGCGGAAGCCUGAUGCAGCAACGCCGCGUGCGGGAUGACGGCCUUCGGGUUGUAAACCGCUUUCGCCUGUGACGAAGCGUGAGUGACGGUAAUGGGUAAAGAAGCACCGGCUAACUACGUG
Molecule: ribosomal RNA, 468 nt
Filed under: uncultured bacterium
Lineage: Bacteria
Description: partial 16S ribosomal RNA
Rfam family: Bacterial small subunit ribosomal RNA
Source: RNAcentral